RNAcentral lists this ribosomal RNA (763 nucleotides) under uncultured bacterium. Its description in RNAcentral is "bacterial SSU rRNA". It matches the Rfam family "Bacterial small subunit ribosomal RNA", at positions 8 to 796 of the family's 1533-position model. The record is from RNAcentral.
AGAGUUUGAUCCUGGCUCAGCCUGAACGCUGGCGGCGUGGCUAAGACAUGCAAGUCGAACGGAUGUAGCAAUACAUCAGUGGCGGACGGGUGAGUAAUGUAUCGCUAAUGUGCCCUUGAGCCAGGGAUAGCUGCCCGAAAGGGCAGGUAAUACCUGAUAAAGUGACCUUGUCGCAUGACACGGGUCCCCAAAGCAGCAAUGCACUCUUGGAGCAGGCGAUAUCGUAUCAGCUAGUUGGUGAGGUAACGGCUCACCAAGGCAAUGACGCGUAGCUGGUCUGAGAGGACGACCAGCCACAUCGGGACUGAGACACUGCCCGGACUCCUACGGGGGGCUGCAGUAACGAAUCUUCCGCAAUGCACGAAAGUGUGACGGAGCGACGCCGCGUGUAGGAUGAAGUCCUUCGGGAUGUAAACUACUGUCAGGGGAAAGAAAGUUCUGAUCUACCCCAGAGGAAGAGGCGGCUAACUCUGUGCCAGCAGCCGCGGUAAUACAGAGGCCUCAAGCGUUAGGCGGAAUCACUGGGCUUAAAGCGUGUGUAGGUGGAUGCCUAAGUACCUUGUGAAAUCCCACGGCUUAACCGUGGAAUGGCUGGGUAUACUGGGUGUCUUGAGCCACUCAGGGGCUACCGGAACAAACGGUGGAGCGGUGAAAUGCGUAGAUAUCGUUUGGAACGCCAAUGGUGAAAACAGGUAGCUGGGGGUGUGCUGACACUGAGACACGAAAGCCAGGGGAGCAACGGGAUUAGAUACCCUAGUAGUCC